GCCCGCGAGGGAGCCCUAGCACAGGUGCUGCAUGGCCGUCGUCAGCUCGUGCCGUGAGGUGUGGGUUAAGUCCCGCAACGAGCGCAACCCCCGCCGUUAGUUGCCAGCGGUUCGGCCGGGCACUCUAACGGGACUGCCCGCGAAAGCGGGAGGAAGGAGGGGACGACGUCUGGUCAGCAUGGCCCUUACGGCCUGGGCGACACACGUGCUACAAUGCCCACUACAAAGCGAUGCCACCCGGCAACGGGGAGCUAAUCGCAAAAAGGUGGGCCCAGUUCGGAUUGGGGUCUGCAACCCGACCCCAUGAAGCCGGAAUCGCUAGUAAUCGCGGAUCAGCCAUGCCGCGGUGAAUACGUUCCCGGGCCUU
RNAcentral lists this ribosomal RNA (367 nucleotides) under uncultured Thermus sp. Its description in RNAcentral is "bacterial SSU rRNA". It matches the Rfam family "Bacterial small subunit ribosomal RNA", at positions 1014 to 1382 of the family's 1533-position model. The record is from RNAcentral. Lineage: Bacteria; Thermotogati; Deinococcota; Deinococci; Thermales; Thermaceae.